Long non-coding RNA from Astatotilapia calliptera (eastern happy), 925 nucleotides. The record is from Ensembl. Lineage: Eukaryota; Metazoa; Chordata; Actinopteri; Cichliformes; Cichlidae.
UCUCCACUGGUGUGAACUCAGGAUUCCGCAUUAGGUCCUGGAAAGCUGUGCAGCUUUUAACCACAGCUCUUGUUGUGAGCAGUUUUUUUCUGUUUUCUGCAUUUUCUAAUGAAUUUGCCCUCAACGCAGUCACAUUUGAAUGACGCUGAGGAUGGCCAGAGCGAGGCAUGCUUUGGAGUACACCAGCUUCUACCACAGUGGCACCUACACACUCAAACACCCCACACCUUGUCAGGAGCUGCCAGAGAAGAACAGGGCAGUACCUGAAGACACUGUACCACUCCAAACCAUAACCUCAGUGACACCUGCUGUCAUCACCCCAGUGCCACCUCCAUCGCUGCCCUCACCGGCACCCCCUCCACUGCCACUCCCCCCACCUCCUGUCCUACCACGUCCACCUCUUCACCCUCCAGUUUCUCUCCCUCCAACACCCCCUGUCCUGUCACUCCCUCUUCCCGUGCCUGUCAUCCACACCACCCCGCCCAGCCCUCACCUGUCAUGGGGUGCCUGCUCAGAUGCAGAUGUUUAUUCUCGGAUUGGGACUUUCAGGCCAUCCAGGCUUUCCAACCUCUCCAACCAGUCGACAGUCAUCCUGUUUGAACACUCAUCUGUUUGAACUCUCACAGAAUGUGUGUGAUCUCCUCAAGGAGUCUGUGACUGUGACAAGGAUUACAAGAUGUUUCCUGUACUCUAUGUUUGUGUGUGUAAUAUACAGCAAAAUAUAAGAGGUUAACGUUUCAAAACUUUAAAACAUGAAGUUUGCACUUUGUCAGCCACUGAAGGGCUUUAUUGACAAAAAAAAGAAAGAAAAAAGCAGAUGCAAUAAAAUUGCAAUUUAAUUAAAAACACCUCUAUUAUAACCAUGUUUUUUUCUUAACUGGAUUGUGACGUCAGGAGGACAGAUGAAACCCUCCACUUGUCCAAG